RNAcentral lists this ribosomal RNA (429 nucleotides) under Chloroflexota bacterium. Its description in RNAcentral is "Chloroflexi bacterium partial 16S ribosomal RNA". It matches the Rfam family "Bacterial small subunit ribosomal RNA", at positions 355 to 776 of the family's 1533-position model. Lineage: Bacteria; Bacillati; Chloroflexota. The record is from RNAcentral.
UGGGGAAUAUUGCACAAUGGGCGCAAGCCUGAUGCAGCCAUGCCGCGUGUGUGACGAAGGCCUUCGGGUUGUAAAGCACUUUCAGCGGGGAGGAAGGCGUUAAGGUUAAUAACCUUGGCGAUUGACGUUACCCGCAGAAGAAGCACCGGCUAACUCCGUGCCAGCAGCCGCGGUAAUACGGAGGGUGCAAGCGUUAAUCGGAAUUACUGGGCGUAAAGCGCACGCAGGCGGUCUGUCAAGUCGGAUGUGAAAUCCCCGGGCUCAACCUGGGAACUGCAUUCGAAACUGGCAGGCUAGAGUCUUGUAGAGGGGGGUAGAAUUCCAGGUGUAGCGGUGAAAUGCGUAGAGAUCUGGAGGAAUACCGGUGGCGAAGGCGGCCCCCUGGACAAAGACUGACGCUCAGGUGCGAAAGCGUGGGGAGCAAACAGG